RNAcentral lists this ribosomal RNA (351 nucleotides) under uncultured bacterium. Its description in RNAcentral is "partial 16S ribosomal RNA". It matches the Rfam family "Bacterial small subunit ribosomal RNA", at positions 28 to 377 of the family's 1533-position model. The record is from RNAcentral.
GACGAACGCUGGCGGCGUGCUUAAUACAUGCAAGUCAACUGAACUGUUUGUAGCAAUACGGACAGGGAGGUGGCGCACGGGUGAGUAACACGUAGGUAAUCUGCCUUUAGGUCUGACAUAACCCCGGGAAACCGGAGCUAAUAUCAGAUGAUGCAGCGGCUCGACAUCGAGACAGUUGUUAAACCUUCGGGGCCUAAAGAUGAGCCUGCGUCUGAUUAGCUAGUGGUGAGGUAACGGCUCACCAAGGCUUCGACGGGUAGCUGGUCUGAGAGGACGAUCAGCCACACUGGCACUGCGACACGGGCCAGACUCCUACGGGAGGCAGCAGUAAGGAAUAUUGCGCAAUGGGCG